GGUGAACAUGCCCUUGAGGGUGAAUCUGCAUGCUUCCACAGUGAAGAUGAAUCGGCAAGAAGUCCUCAAGGCAGUUCAGCUAGAAGAAAUGGCCUAGAUAGUCCAUCUUCUGAUGUUUUUGCAAAGAGUAUUGAUCCAGAUGCAGAAACACAUCUUUUUGAUGAAUCAACUUGGGGCNNNNNNNNNNNNGUAAAUGACUUAUAAUAAUUAUUUAUAUAAAUUGUAUUAGUACUAAGGAUUCAGAAUUUGGAACUGGUGAUUUUGGUGUAAAGCCAAUAAGAACGGAAUCUCCAUCCUCAGAGAUUUUUCAGAAAAAGAGUCCAUUUUUUUGAAGAGUUGCUGGCUCACCGGUCUCCAGGUUCGGCAACUCUCCAAGAUACAGUGAAGCAGGUUUUCUGAAAAAUAAGUUUUGAUAAUUUCUCAAGAUUUGAAUCAUUCAGCGUGCAUGAAGGCGGAUUUUCUCCAAGAGAGAAGCUGACAAGGUUUGAUUCCACAAGCAGCACAAAAGACUUAGGCCAUAGUCGUGCCUUCUCUUCUUUUGACGAUGCAGACCCAUUUGGUCCCAGUGGACCAUUUAAGGUUUCAUCAGACAAUAAAUCUCCCAAAAAAGGUUAUGAAAGUUGGGGUGCUUUCUAGUUGUCUGAUGAAACCUUAAAUGGUCCACUGGGACCAAAUGGGUCUGCAUCGUCAAAAGAAGAGAAGGCGGUUGAGAGCUCGACUGUUGUGAAGUUAUUUGUUUUUAUAUUAAAAUUCUGGAAUGCCAAA
Molecule: unclassified non-coding RNA, 765 nt
Filed under: Hevea brasiliensis (rubber tree)
Lineage: Eukaryota; Viridiplantae; Streptophyta; Magnoliopsida; Malpighiales; Euphorbiaceae
Source: RNAcentral